This is a non-coding RNA of Podarcis lilfordi (Lilford's wall lizard), 76 nucleotides long. NCBI's taxonomy places the organism in Eukaryota, Metazoa, Chordata, Lepidosauria, Squamata, Lacertidae. The record is from the annotation of a GenBank genome assembly.
GGGCUAAUCUGUAGCUCAGUAAUAGGACAUCUGCUUUGUAUGCAGAAGGACCCAGGUUCAAUCCCCAGCAUCUCCA